RNAcentral lists this ribosomal RNA (270 nucleotides) under uncultured prokaryote. RNAcentral describes it as "partial 16S ribosomal RNA". It matches the Rfam family "Bacterial small subunit ribosomal RNA", at positions 524 to 792 of the family's 1533-position model. The record is from RNAcentral.
UACGGAGGAUGCGAGCGUUAUCCGGAUUUAUUGGGUUUAAAGGGUGCGUAGGCGGAUUGAUAAGUCAGUGGUGAAAUCCUACAGCUUAACUGUAGAAUUGCCGUUGAUACUGUUUUUCUUGAGUAUGGUCAAGGAAGGCGGAAUGUGUAAUGUAGCGGUGAAAUGCUUAGAUAUUACACAGAACACCAAUUGCGAAGGCAGCUUUCUGGCCCAUUACUGACGCUGAGGCACGAAAGCGUGGGGGAUCGAACAGGAUUAGAUACCCCCGUA